Molecule: RNA transcript, 294 nt
Organism: Stomoxys calcitrans (stable fly)
Lineage: Eukaryota; Metazoa; Arthropoda; Insecta; Diptera; Muscidae
Exons: 2
Source: RefSeq, a predicted model, not a curated record
CGUAGGAAAUUCCGUUCUUAAAACCUUUAUUUUAUAAAAAAUUUUAAAAUUUUGCAUAUGCUCCAAACUUUAAUAGAAAAAUGAGUAAAAUAUUGACAUAAGUGAGCUCGUCGUCCUAUGUGUCCCGUGAUGAUACCGAAAACUAUACUGACCACCAACGGAAUCGUUACUCCAUCCACAAGAUGCUGCUUUUGAUGGCAAGUGCGAUAUCAUCUACGUUAGUAACAAUUAGUUAUACAUUAUUUGAAACAUAGGGCUUUUAUCAUUCCGAGUAAAACGUGCGUUUUGAUUGAA